UGUGGCAUCUAUUGCCGCUGUGAAGUGGAGGAAGCAUCUUCAGAUCAGUUGAUAGCUUAAUAUAUGUCAGCAGGAUGUUUAUUGCCUUUGGAGAUUCAUCUCAAUAGCAAUUCAUAUAUUCUUGUGAUAUAUCUUCAUCUUACUUGACUAUUAAGACUCUCUUUUCUUGUCUAUUAACCUAUGUUCUCCCUCAAAUUUUGCAGACUGGAAAAUUGUUCGCCAUCAUGAAAGCUGUUCGGCUCUGUUCCGCAUUUUUUGUCAAAAGGAAUUAAGGAACGCAACCUCACUUUCUCAAUCAGAGAUUCGGACUGAUAACUUUGGAGAUUAUGAAGUUUCCUUCAAAUUAUUUCCAUUACUCAACCUCGAGUAGAACCUUAGAACUAGGGAAAAGGGAAGGAAGUGUACCCUACUUGGAAUAAAUUCAAGCAUGUAAGGAAGAAAUCCGAGUGAAUGGAAAGGACAAAUAAAGGAAAAAUUCCACUCCCACCUUAUAGAGACAGGAUAAAAUUGUAAUUGUGAGGAGAGGCAGCAAGCGCUGCAGACGGAGCAGGAAGCGCUUUUUGUUCAUGGAGCACUCGGUCUCCUGGUAGACUUUAAAGACGAGAUGAAAUCUUUCUUUCUGAUCAUAAGUUGUGAACUCAUGGUCAAAUGGCUUCCGAGGUGGGCUUCCCCUUCUCUAUGGUAGUACUGCGUCUAUUGCCACUAUGAAGCUGAGGAAGCAUCUUCAGAUCAGGAUGAAAGAUGACAAAAAAGUGACUUGAGAAAGGAGGAUGCGGUAUAGAGUUGCACAUGUUCACCCUUGUGCUUUGAAAAUAUGUACAAUCUUAUUGUCCUUCGAAAUGCGGAGUCUCUAAUAGAAUAUCCAAG
Lycium ferocissimum is the source of this 867-nucleotide long non-coding RNA. RefSeq lists it as uncharacterized. The transcript has 5 exons. Lineage: Eukaryota; Viridiplantae; Streptophyta; Magnoliopsida; Solanales; Solanaceae. The record is from RefSeq and is a predicted model, not a curated record.